RNAcentral lists this transfer RNA (73 nucleotides) under Haemophilus sp. HMSC073C03. Its description in RNAcentral is "tRNA-Lys". It matches the Rfam family "tRNA". From Rfam's summary of the family: Transfer RNA (tRNA) molecules are approximately 80 nucleotides in length. Lineage: Bacteria; Pseudomonadati; Pseudomonadota; Gammaproteobacteria; Pasteurellales; Pasteurellaceae. The record is from RNAcentral.
GCCGCAGUAACUCAGUCGGCAGAGGGAUAGAUUUUAUCUAUAUGCGGUGGUUCGAUCCCACCCUGCGACACCA